AAUGAACGCUGGCGGCGCGCCUAAUACAUGCAAGUCGAGCGAGAAGACGUAGCAAUACGUUUGUAAAGCGGCGAACGGGUGAGGAAUACAUGGGUAACCUACCCUCGAGUGGGGAAUAACUAGCCGAAAGGUUAGCUAAUACCGCGUACGCUUCUUGGACUUCGGUUCAGGGAGGAAAGCGAUGCCGAGGGUAUCGCGCUCUUGGAUGGGCUCAUGUCCUAUCAGCUUGUUGGGAGGUAACGGCUCACCAAGGCUUCGACGGGUAGCUGGUCUGAGAGGACGAUCAGCCACACUGGCACUGCGACACGGGCCAGACUCCUACGGGAGGCAGCAGUAAGGAAUAUUGCGCAA
This 351-nucleotide ribosomal RNA is filed under the name uncultured bacterium. RNAcentral's name for it is "bacterial SSU rRNA". It matches the Rfam family "Bacterial small subunit ribosomal RNA", at positions 29 to 371 of the family's 1533-position model. The record is from RNAcentral.